This 224-nucleotide ribosomal RNA is filed under the name uncultured bacterium. Its description in RNAcentral is "partial 16S ribosomal RNA". It matches the Rfam family "Bacterial small subunit ribosomal RNA", at positions 15 to 229 of the family's 1533-position model. The record is from RNAcentral.
GAUCAUGGCUCAGGAUGAACGCUGGCGGCAUGCCUAAUACAUGCAAGUCGAACGGACGGAAGAUGAGCUUGCUCAUUGGAAGUCAGUGGCGAACGGGUGAGUAACACGUAGGGAAUCUGCCCAUGUGCCCGUGACAACAGAUGGAAACGUCUGCUAAAACCGGAUAGGUGGCAAGGAGGCAUCUUCUUGCGAUUAAAGGGGCUACGGCCUUGAACAUGGAUGAU